This 466-nucleotide ribosomal RNA is filed under the name uncultured bacterium. Its description in RNAcentral is "partial 16S ribosomal RNA". It matches the Rfam family "Bacterial small subunit ribosomal RNA", at positions 28 to 523 of the family's 1533-position model. The record is from RNAcentral.
GAUGAACGCUGGCGGCGUGCCUAACACAUGCAAGUCGAGCGGACCCUUCGGGGUGAGCGGCGGACGGGUGAGUAACGCGUGGGUAACCUGCCCUAUACACACGGAUAACGUACCGAAAGGUACGCUAAUACGGGAUAAUAUUGUUGGAUGGCAUCUUCUAACAAUCAAAGCUCCGGCGGUGUAGGAUGGACCCGCGUCUGAUUAGCUAGUUGGUGAGGUAAUGGCUCACCAAGGCGACGAUCAGUAGCCGACCUGAGAGGGUGAUCGGCCACACUGGAACUGAGACACGGUCCAGACUCCUACGGGAGGCAGCAGUGGGGAAUAUUGCACAAUGGGCGAAAGCCUGAUGCAGCAACGCCGCGUGAGCGAUGAAGGUCUUCGGAUCGUAAAGCUCUGUCCUCAAGGAAGAUAAUGACGGUACUUGAGGAGGAAGCCCCGGCUAACUACGUGCCAGCAGCCGCCGUAA